Osmerus eperlanus (European smelt) is the source of this 738-nucleotide long non-coding RNA. RefSeq lists it as uncharacterized. The transcript has 3 exons. Lineage: Eukaryota; Metazoa; Chordata; Actinopteri; Osmeriformes; Osmeridae. The record is from RefSeq and is a predicted model, not a curated record.
CAAUAUCAGGACUAUUCACAGCAUUCACACUCGUGUGCACGACAUCCACAGAGGUCUAUCAACUGCUAGCUGUGGUUUCAGAAGUCAUGGAUUGUGAGCCUGGUCGGGGAGACAGUGGAAGCGCCUGCAAACCAAGUAAUAACCCCCACACCAGUAUUGACUAUAAUAUUUACAUUGAAAUGGAUGUAGUCACACGUUUUUACCACUCAAAAAUACAACCUUCAAUAGAUAUCCAUGGUAGUGCAGUCCAUGCAAGGCUGUGGUCUUUUUUGCUUUCACUGCAUUUCUGUUCCAAAAAAAUCAACAGUUUUCCCAUGGAACACUAACUCUUCAUGUCUUUGAAUAAGUGAUGAUAUAGUUAUUUAUGUGGUUUGCUUAUCAGAAUUGUAAUUCUUACAAAACAGGAGUACUGUAGCACAGACACAGAAAGUAUUGUUUAACGUGCAUACUGAAUGGUACAGUCCUGUCAGAACACAACACCUGCUGGCAGCUAUGUGUAAUGUUUACCACAUGAAUAACACCAAUCUUUCAAUUAUUUUGCACAACCAAUCCAACCAAUCCUAAACCUGAAGAGGCCAUUACUGAUAUAACCAGUCAAAACACAGUCGUUGCAUUUACAGCCAAACUACAAGUCCACCACAGCUAUCCAAAGCACGAGGGGGUCCUGAGGUUUACUGAUGUACUAAUCAACAAAGGAGGGGGUUACAGUCCUGACACUGGCAUCUUCACCUGCCCUCA